Molecule: ribosomal RNA, 497 nt
Filed under: uncultured bacterium
Lineage: Bacteria
Description: partial 16S ribosomal RNA
Rfam family: Bacterial small subunit ribosomal RNA
Source: RNAcentral
GAUGAACGCUGGCGGCGUGCCUAAUACAUGCAAGUCGAGCGAACGGACGAGAAGCUUGCUUCUCUGAUGUUAGCGGCGGACGGGUGAGUAACACGUGGAUAACCUACCUAUAAGACUGGGAUGACUUCGGGAAACCGGAGCUAAUACCGGAUGAUAUUUUGAACCGCAUGGUUCAAAAGUGAAAGACGGUCUUGCUGUCACUUAUAGAUGGAUCCGCGCUGCAUUAGCUAGUUGGUAAGGUAACGGCUUACCAAGGCAACGAUGCAUAGCCGACCUGAGAGGGUGAUCGGCCACACUGGAACUGAGACACGGUCCAGACUCCUACGGGAGGCAGCAGUAGGGAAUCUUCCGCAAUGGGCGAAAGCCUGACGGAGCAACGCCGCGUGAGUGAUGAAGGUCUUCGGAUCGUAAAACUCUGUUAUUAGGGAAGAACACAUGUGUAAGUAACUGUGCACAUCUUGACGGUACCUAAUCAGAAAGCCACGGCUAACUACGUG